This 504-nucleotide ribosomal RNA is filed under the name uncultured bacterium. Its description in RNAcentral is "partial 16S ribosomal RNA". It matches the Rfam family "Bacterial small subunit ribosomal RNA", at positions 30 to 523 of the family's 1533-position model. The record is from RNAcentral.
AUUGAACGCUGGCGGCAGGCCUAACACAUGCAAGUCGAACGGUAGCACAGAGAGCUUGCUCUCGGGUGACGAGUGGCGGACGGGUGAGUAACGUCUGGGAAACUGCCCGAUGGAGGGGGAUAACUACUGGAAACGGUAGCUAAUACCGCAUAACGUCGCAAGACCAAAGUGGGGGACCUUCGGGCCUCACACCAUCGGAUGUGCCCAGAUGGGAUUAGCUAGUAGGUGGGGUAAUGGCUCACCUAGGCGACGAUCCCUAGCUGGUCUGAGAGGAUGACCAGCCACGCUGGAACUGAGACACGGUCCAGACUCCUACGGGAGGCAGCAGUGGGGAAUAUUGCACAAUGGGCGCAAGCCUGAUGCAGCCAUGCCGCGUGUAUGAAGAAGGCCUUCGGGUUGUAAAGUACUUUCAGCGGGGAGGAAGGCGGUGAAGUUAAUAACUUCACCGAUUGACGUUACCCGCAGAAUAAGCACCGGCUAACUCUGUGCCAGCAGCCGCCGUAA